GACCGUGUGUGUGUGUGUGUGUGUGUGUGUGUGUGUGUGUGUGUGUGUGUGCGUGCGUGCUCGCGCUCAUGAGCAC
RNAcentral lists this microRNA precursor (76 nucleotides) under Procavia capensis (Cape rock hyrax). RNAcentral's name for it is "miRNA (ENSPCAG00000019546.1)". The record is from RNAcentral. Lineage: Eukaryota; Metazoa; Chordata; Mammalia; Hyracoidea; Procaviidae.